UCGGACGUGGUGCACGGUGCACACCCUCUUCCUAUAGCAUGGUCUUCAAUGGCUCACAGCGGGAGCUCUGGGUUCGAUUCCCAGCGUCCGAA
Molecule: non-coding RNA, 92 nt
Organism: Mycena latifolia
Lineage: Eukaryota; Fungi; Basidiomycota; Agaricomycetes; Agaricales; Mycenaceae
Source: the annotation of a GenBank genome assembly